GCAAGGUUAACCGAAUAGGGGAGCCGGAGGGAAACCGAGUCUUAAUUGGGCGUUAAGUUGCAGGGUAUAGACCCGAAACCCGGUGAUCUAGCCAUGGGCAGGUUGAAGGUUGGGUAACACUAACUGGAGGACCGAACCGACUAAUGUUGAAAAAUUAGCGGAUGACCUGUGGCUGGGGGUGAAAGGCCAAUCAAACCGGGAGAUAGCUGGUUCUCCCCGAAAGCUAUUUAGGUAGCGCCUCGUGAAUUCAUCUCCGGGGGUAGAGCACUGUUUCGGCUAGGGGGCCAUCCCGGCUUACCAACCCGAUGCAAACUGCGAAUACCGGAGAAUGUUAUCACGGGAGACACACGGCGGGUGCUAACGUCCGUCGUGAAGAGGGAAACAACCCAGACCGCCAGCUAAGGUCCCAAAGUCAUGGUUAAGUGGGAAACGAUGUGGGAAGGCCCAGACAGCCAGGAUGUUGGCUUAGAAGCAGCCAUCAUUUAAAGAAAGCGUAAUAGCUCACUGGUCGAGUCGGCCUGCGCGGAAGAUGUAACGGGGCUAAACCAUGCACCGAAGCUGCGGCAGCGACGCUUAUGCGUUGUUGGGUAGGGGAGCGUUCUGUAAGCCUGUGAAGGUGGCCUGUGAGGGUUGCU
RNAcentral lists this ribosomal RNA (635 nucleotides) under Salmonella enterica. RNAcentral describes it as "partial 23S ribosomal RNA". It matches the Rfam family "Bacterial large subunit ribosomal RNA", at positions 640 to 1274 of the family's 2925-position model. Lineage: Bacteria; Pseudomonadati; Pseudomonadota; Gammaproteobacteria; Enterobacterales; Enterobacteriaceae. The record is from RNAcentral.